This is a non-coding RNA of Oreochromis niloticus (Nile tilapia), 593 nucleotides long. The record is from the annotation of a RefSeq genome assembly. Lineage: Eukaryota; Metazoa; Chordata; Actinopteri; Cichliformes; Cichlidae.
CUCAUAGUAUGUGACUGUUUUUCACAGCCCUGUUGCAAAUCUCUGAGGGGAGGAGUUCAUGCAAAAUCACAGAGAGCUUCUUCAUCUUCAUAUCUGACUGCAGGGAUGAUGACAGAGAACAGUGGACUCAUCUCAACAUGAUGGACUGUAGGACAGGACUGCUGGUUUUAACUCUCUGCUUGGCAGGUGUUAAUGGUCAGACUCUGACAGAAUCUGAACCAGCAGUUAAACAACCUGGAGAGUCUCACAGAUUGACCUGUACAACAUCUGGAAUCUCAUUUAGUAGCAACGCUAUGGUCUGGAUCAGACAGGCUCCUGGAAAAGGACUGGAAUGGAUUGCUUAUAUCAAUUCUAACAGUGCCUACAUCUAUUAUUCUCAGUCAGUCCGAGGCAGGUUUACCAUCUCCAGAGACAACAGCAGAGAGCAGCUGUAUCUGCAGAUGAACAGUCUGAAGACUGAAGAUUCUGCUGUUUAUUAUUGUGCCCGAUAGUCACAGUGAUAGGAGUUGGUUAAGCAGCUGUACAAAAUCCUUCCGGGUUUGUUUUAUUGGCUCCCCACCUGCAAUAUAGCAGAACAAUUUUGCAACACAUAU